This 644-nucleotide ribosomal RNA is filed under the name uncultured bacterium. RNAcentral's name for it is "bacterial SSU rRNA". It matches the Rfam family "Bacterial small subunit ribosomal RNA", at positions 53 to 689 of the family's 1533-position model. The record is from RNAcentral.
ACAUGCAGUCGAACGGCAGCGCGGGGAGCUUGCUCCCUGGCGGCGAGUGGCGCACGGGUGAGUAAUACAUCGGAACGUGUCUUCUAGUGGGGGAUAACUGCCCGAAAGGGCAGCUAAUACCGCAUGAGACCUGAGGGUGAAAGCGGGGGAUCGCAAGACCUCGCGCUGGAAGAGCGGCCGAUGUCCGAUUAGCUAGUUGGUGAGGUAAAGGCUCACCAAGGCGACGAUCGGUAGCUGGUCUGAGAGGACGACCAGCCACACUGGGACUGAGACACGGCCCAGACUCCUACGGGAGGCAGCAGUGGGGAAUUUUGGACAAUGGGGGCAACCCUGAUCCAGCCAUGCCGCGUGCAGGAUGAAGGUCUUCGGAUUGUAAACUGCUUUUGUCAGGGACGAAAAGGGAUGCGAUAACACCGUAUUCCGCUGACGGUACCUGAAGAAUAAGCACCGGCUAACUACGUGCCAGCAGCCGCGGUAAUACGUAGGGUGCAAGCGUUAAUCGGAAUUACUGGGCGUAAAGCGUGCGCAGGCGGUUCUGUAAGAUAGAUGUGAAAUCCCCGGGCUCAACCUGGGAAUUGCAUAUAUGACUGCAGGACUUGAGUUUGUCAGAGGAGGGUGGAAUUCCACGUGUAGCAGUGAAAUGC